Molecule: unclassified non-coding RNA, 404 nt
Filed under: soil metagenome
Description: partial contains 5.8S ribosomal RNA, internal transcribed spacer 2, and large subunit ribosomal RNA
Rfam family: 5.8S ribosomal RNA (bases 1-120)
Source: RNAcentral
GAUGAAGAACGCAGCGAAAUGCGAUAAGUAAUGUGAAUUGCAGAAUUCAGUGAAUCAUCGAAUCUUUGAACGCACCUUGCGCCCUUUGGCCAUUCCGAAGGGCAUGCCUGUUGAGUAUCAUGAACACCUCAACUCUUUAUGGUUUUCCAUGAUGAGCUUGGACUCUGGGGGUUUUGCUGGCUCACAGUCGGCUCCUCUAAAAUGAAUCAGCUUACCAGUGUUUGGUGGGUAUCAUGGGUGUGAUAACUAUCUACGCUUGUGGUUUUUCCACCAGGUAACCUUCAGCAGUGGAGGUUCGCUGGAGCUCAUAGAUGUCUCUCCUCAGUGAGGACAGCCCUUUGAAUGUUUGAUCUCAAAUCAGGUAGGACUACCCGCUGAACUUAAGCAUAUCAAUAAGCGGAGGA